This 253-nucleotide ribosomal RNA is filed under the name uncultured bacterium. Its description in RNAcentral is "partial 16S ribosomal RNA". It matches the Rfam family "Bacterial small subunit ribosomal RNA", at positions 524 to 776 of the family's 1533-position model. The record is from RNAcentral.
UACGGAGAGUGCAAGCGUUGUCCGGAAUCACUGGGCGUAAAGGGCGCGUAGGCGGCUCACGAAGGCUGUGGUGAAAGUCCGGGGCUCAACCUCGGAUCGGCCGUGGCGACUCGUGGGCUGGAGCACUGUAGAGGCGGGUGGAAUUCCGGGUGUAGCGGUGGAAUGCGUAGAGAUCCGGAAGAACACCAGUGGCGAAGGCGGCCCGCUGGGCAGUGGCUGACGCUGAGGCGCGACAGCGUGGGGAGCAAACAGG